CAAUAGAUACCCGGGUAGUCCACGCCGUAAACGAUGUCGACUUGGAGGUUGUUCCCUUGAGGAGGUGGCGUUCCGGAGCUAACGCGUUAAGUCGACCGCCUGGGGAGUACGGCCGCAAGGUUAAAACUCAAAUGAAUUGACGGGGGCCCGCACAAGCGGUGGAGCAUGUGGUUUAAUUCGAUGCAACGCGAAGAACCUUACCUACUCUUGACAUCCAGAGAACUUAGCAGAGAUGCUUUGGUGCCUUCGGGAACUCUGAGACAGGUGCUGCAUGGCUGUCGUCAGCUCGUGUUGUGAAUGUUGGGUUAAGUCCCGCAACGAGCGCAACCCUUAUCCUUUGUUGCCAGCGGUUCGGCCGGGAACUCAAAGGAGACUGCCAGUGAUAAACUGGAGGAAGGUGGGGAUGACGUCAAGUCAUCAUGGCCCUUACGAGUAGGGCUACACACGUGCUACAAUGGCGUAUACAAAGAGAAGCGACCUCGCGAGAGCAAGCGGACCUCAUAAAGUACGUCGUAGUCCGGAUUGGAGUCUGC
RNAcentral lists this ribosomal RNA (533 nucleotides) under uncultured bacterium. RNAcentral describes it as "bacterial SSU rRNA". It matches the Rfam family "Bacterial small subunit ribosomal RNA", at positions 776 to 1308 of the family's 1533-position model. The record is from RNAcentral.